RNAcentral lists this transfer RNA (69 nucleotides) under Platygonus compressus. RNAcentral describes it as "tRNA-Glu". It matches the Rfam family "tRNA". Rfam says of the family: Transfer RNA (tRNA) molecules are approximately 80 nucleotides in length. Their secondary structure includes four short double-helical elements and three loops (D, anti-codon, and T loops). Lineage: Eukaryota; Metazoa; Chordata; Mammalia; Artiodactyla; Tayassuidae. The record is from RNAcentral.
GUUCUUAUAGUUGAAUAACAACGAUGGUUUUUCAUGCCAUUAGUCAUGGUUGGAUUCCAUGUGAGAAUA